UCGGGAAUUUUGGACAAUGGGCGCAAGCCUGAUCCAGCCAUGCCGCGUGUGGGAAGAAGGCCUUCGGGUUGUAAACCACUUUUGUCAGGGAAGAAACGGCCUGAUCUAAUACAUUGGGUUAAUGACGGUACCUGAAGAAUAAGCACCGGCUAACUACGUGCCAGCAGCCGCGGUAAUACGUAGGGUGCGAGCGUUAAUCGGAAUUACUGGGCGUAAAGCGUGCGCAGGCGGCUUUGCAAGACAGAUGUGAAAUCCCCGGGCUCAACCUGGGAACUGCAUUUGUGACUGCAAGGCUAGAGUACGGUAGAGGGGGAUGGAAUUCCGCGUGUAGCAGUGAAAUGCGUAGAUAUGCGGAGGAACACCGAUGGCGAAGGCAAUCCCCUGGACCUGUACUGACGCUCAUGCACGAAAGCGUGGGAGCAAACAGGAUUAGAUACCCACGUAGUCCCUGAGCGGGCUGGCAAGGCGCAU
RNAcentral lists this ribosomal RNA (471 nucleotides) under uncultured bacterium. Its description in RNAcentral is "bacterial SSU rRNA". It matches the Rfam family "Bacterial small subunit ribosomal RNA", at positions 355 to 825 of the family's 1533-position model. The record is from RNAcentral.